Molecule: ribosomal RNA, 465 nt
Filed under: Vreelandella stevensii
Lineage: Bacteria; Pseudomonadati; Pseudomonadota; Gammaproteobacteria; Oceanospirillales; Halomonadaceae
Description: partial 16S ribosomal RNA
Rfam family: Bacterial small subunit ribosomal RNA
Source: RNAcentral
CCUACGGGGGGCUGCAGUGGGGAAUAUUGGACAAUGGGGGGAACCCUGAUCCAGCCAUGCCGCGUGUGUGAAGAAGGCCCUCGGGUUGUAAAGCACUUUCAGUGAGGAAGAACGCCUGGAGGUUAAUACCCAUCAGGAAAGACAUCACUCACAGAAGAAGCACCGGCUAACUCCGUGCCAGCAGCCGCGGUAAUACGGAGGGUGCGAGCGUUAAUCGGAAUUACUGGGCGUAAAGCGCGCGUAGGUGGCUUGAUAAGCCGGUUGUGAAAGCCCCGGGCUCAACCUGGGAACGGCAUCCGGAACUGUCAAGCUAGAGUGCAGGAGAGGAAGGUAGAAUUCCCGGUGUAGCGGUGAAAUGCGUAGAGAUCGGGAGGAAUACCAGUGGCGAAGGCGGCCUUCUGGACUGACACUGACACUGAGGUGCGAAAGCGUGGGUAGCAAACAGGAUUAGAUACCCUAGUAGUC